AGUGAACGCUGGCGGUAGGCCUAACACAUGCAAGUCGAACGGCAGCACAGUAAGAGCUUGCUCUUACGGGUGGCGAGUGGCGGACGGGUGAGGAAUACAUCGGACUCUACUUUUUCGUGGGGGAUAACGUAGGGAAACUUACGCUAAUACCGCAUACGACCUACGUGUGAAAGCAGUGGAUCUUCGGACCUUGCGCGAUUGAAUGAGCCGAUGUCGGAUUAGCUAGUUGGCGGGGUAAAGGCCCACCAAGGCGACGAUCCGUAGCUGGUCUGAGAGGAUGAUCAGCCACACUGGAACUGAGAAACGGUCAAGACUCCUACGGGAGGCAGCAGUGGGGAAUAUUGGACAAGGGGCGAAAGCCUGAUCCAGACAUACCGCGUGGGUGAAGAAGGCUUUCGGGUUGUAAAGCCCGUUUGUUGGGAAAGAAAUCCAGCCGGCUAAUACCUGGUUGGGAUGACGGUACCCAAAGAAUAAGCACCGGCUAACUUCGUG
This 492-nucleotide ribosomal RNA is filed under the name uncultured bacterium. Its description in RNAcentral is "partial 16S ribosomal RNA". It matches the Rfam family "Bacterial small subunit ribosomal RNA", at positions 29 to 507 of the family's 1533-position model. The record is from RNAcentral.